CAGGCUUCGGUUGAACAGAAGAACCUUGGAGUCUAGUGUAGUAUCAGAGAUUCAAGUACCUGGGCAGUCUGCACGUGAUGCCUGUUGAGCCCCAGAAAGGCCGUGCCACUACAGGAGCGCACAGCGGGAUAAGGGCUCUGCUGGAUGAGCAGCUGGAGUGAGAAUCCAGGCAGCCUGCUCACAGGCCAGACCCACCACCACACCCUGACACCGGUCCCUGUCCAGGAAUAGCUCUGAAAGAAGAGGCACUGCCAGGCCCCUGCAGCAUAGAAGAGACUUCUAUCAUAACUGUUCAAUGGCCGAGUGAAUACUAUUGUAAGUGCAAAACCAUGGUGCAGAAGAAGUAUUUUUUUAAUCUGUAUGGGGGGAAUGUAUGUGUUUGUUUAAGAGUGAAUGGGUAAGUAUGGUCAUUACUAAAGAUAUUUGUAGAUCACCAGCGUGUUCGCCAGCAGGAACACGAGAUGAAGCAGCACCCAUUCUGGGGUCACAGUUCACAGUUUCCUUAGAAUCUGAAGGUAAAUGCCGUCAUCCUUGGUUCUACCAAUGAGGCAGGCUUCUAAGCCCAGGAGGCAGUGAGUACUGGCAGAGAGAGAGCACUGUCCUCCUGUUUUGGAGUCAGAUAGACUUUGAUUUUGUCUUGCCCUCUUCCCAGCUUUGUGACCACGGGCAUGAGAGAAAGAGGGCCUGUGUCUUCAUUCCCUUGCCAACUGUUCAAUGUAUUAUUUCCUGAUUUCUUUAUCAGUCAAAUUAGGUGGGAAAAUGGAAUCUCAUUGCUGUUUAUAUUUGCAUUAUUAGAGAAGGUGAAUAUCUUUUAUGUGUUAGUUUUAGUUUUUAUUUGAGAUGUUUGGGUUUUGAGGGGCCUCGAUAAAUAACACCUUCCUUUCUCCACUGAACAAAAUGAUUUUAAAAAAAUGGCAUUGCAGAUGGAAGCCAAAAUAUCAGCUUUAUUACAAAGGUAAAGUAAGUUACAGGGUGUUGAUUGUCGUGAGGGUCAAAUGGGCUUGUAACAGAACCCUAGAUUUAAGCAAAGUUACCCGAUCAGCCUAGAAGCUUGCAACCCUGUAAGAAGGAGAGUGAUACCUGUAGGUGAACUGCAUGAACUUGCUUCAUGGGGAAGUAAAUAUAAGGAGUAAGGAAGAUUAAUCCCUCAGAGCACUGUGAACUGCCUGUUUAUGUACAGCUGCUAACCAAAGGGUACGCAGUUCGAAUCCACCAGACGCUCCUUGGAAAUUCUAUGGGGCAGUUUUACUCUGUCCUGUAGGGUCACUAUGAGUCCAAAUCCACUCAAUGGCACUGGGUUUGGGUUUUUUUGGGGGGUGAUCCCCUUUAUUUACCUUGUUGUGUAUUUUUUAUUAAUUUGUAGAGCUACUUCAGGCUAGAGAUAUUUUUUGUAUUGAAGACAAUUUUGUCAGGUUCUUUUAUUUUCAACUUUGGCAUAUUGUGUUUUUACCAUAGUGUGUGUGUGCGUGUUUGCAAUUUUGGUAUUUUCAGAUACAUACCUCUUUUCUUGAAGGAUUACAGUUGAUGUUUUAUAUUUAGAAAUGACUUCAGUUGAAAAAACUCCAAAACUUCCUGAAGGAUGAAUGAGAAGACCUGACUAAAAGGAGAGAAGAAUUAAAAUUGUAGUGGAUUAAUUCUCCAAAGAAUGUCUUGCUCACUGCAGUCAGAAACAAGGACCUAGCGGUUCUUUUUAAUGACCGACUGGGUCUUAAAAUCAUUUGUAAAAAUGAGAUGCCAGAAAAGGCAAGAAAAACAAGUAAGGGACAUCUUUAACUGUGUUUUUUAUUACAUGAUAAAGGUAUUUAUUUGCUGCCUCUUCUUUACAGGAAAUAACCUACUCCUGGGGUUUGAAUGGAAAUUAAAGAGAUACAUGUUACCAUUCCACUUCAGAGUUCUUCAAAAAUGAACAUUUCUUCUUAUUAAGUGUAUUUCAGUUUAAC
This is a long non-coding RNA of Loxodonta africana (African savanna elephant), 1940 nucleotides long. RefSeq lists it as uncharacterized. The record is from RefSeq and is a predicted model, not a curated record. Lineage: Eukaryota; Metazoa; Chordata; Mammalia; Proboscidea; Elephantidae. The transcript has 3 exons.